Molecule: ribosomal RNA, 637 nt
Filed under: uncultured bacterium
Lineage: Bacteria
Description: bacterial SSU rRNA
Rfam family: Bacterial small subunit ribosomal RNA
Source: RNAcentral
AACGAACGUGGCGGCGUGGAUGAGGCAUGCAAGUCGAGCGAGAAAGCACUCUUCGGAGUGUGAGUAGAGCGGCGGACGGGUGAGUAACACGUAAUCGAGCUGCCCUCGAGACUGGGAUAACCGUGGGAAACUGCGGCUAAUACCGGAUGGUCAUCGGACGUUUCAUGGCGACCGAUGUAAAUGGAGGGGAUCCUUCGGGACCUUCUGCUCGGGGAGGCGAUUGCGGCCUAUCAGCUUGUUGGCGGGGUAACGGCCCACCAAGGCGACGACGGGUAGCAGGCCUGAGAGGGUGGUCUGUCACAUUGGGACUGAGACACUGCCCAGACUCCUACGGGAGGCUGCAGUCGAGAAUCUUCCGCAAUGGGCGCAAGCCUGACGGAGCGACGCCGCGUGGAGGACGAAGGCCCUUGGGUUGUAAACUCCUGUCACGGGUUAUGAAUGCGCGUACGUGAACAUCGUGCGCGUUGACGUAUGCCCGAGAGGAAGCACCGGCUAACUCUGUGCCAGCAGCCGCGGUAAUACAGAGGGUGCAAACGUUGUUCGGAAUCACUGGGCAUAAAGCGCGCGUAGGCGGCCAUGUAAGUGUGAAGUGAAAGCCCACGGCUCAACCGUGGAAUUGCUUUGCAUACUGCAUGGC